Non-coding RNA from Acanthosepion pharaonis, 109 nucleotides. The record is from the annotation of a GenBank genome assembly. Lineage: Eukaryota; Metazoa; Mollusca; Cephalopoda; Sepiida; Sepiidae.
UUACGGCCACAUCACGUUGAAACACCGGUACUAGUAUGAUCACCGAAGUUAAGCAACGUCGAGCCUGGUCAGUAACUCGGGAGUGACUGCUUGGGAAUACCCGGUGAUG